RNAcentral lists this ribosomal RNA (467 nucleotides) under uncultured bacterium. RNAcentral's name for it is "partial 16S ribosomal RNA". It matches the Rfam family "Bacterial small subunit ribosomal RNA", at positions 28 to 507 of the family's 1533-position model. The record is from RNAcentral.
GACGAACGCUGGCGGCGUGCUUAACACAUGCAAGUCGAACGGAAAGGCCUAGCUUGCUGGGUACUCGAGUGGCGAACGGGUGAGUAACACGUGGGUGUUCUGCCCCUGACUUUGGGAUAAGCCUGGGAAACUGGGGCUAAUACCGGAUAUUCAUUUUUCCUCGCAUGGGGAUUUGUGGAAAGCUUUGGCGGUUGGGGAUGGGCCGGCGGCCUAUCAGUUUGUUGGUGGGGUAAUGGCCUACCAAGGCGAUGACGGGGAGCCGGCCUGGGAGGGUGAACGGGGACAUGGGGAGGGAGAGACGGAGGAGAGGGGUACGGGGGGCAGUAGGGGGGAAUAUUGCGCAAUGGGGGGACGCGUGAGGAAAAGACGCUGGGUGCGGGAAGAAGGAUAUCGGGGGGUAAACGGAAGGAGGAGGAGACGAAGAGGGAGUGACGGUAAUGGGAAAAGAAGAACCGGCUAACUACGUG